CAAGCGUUUGUUCUGAUGUCCCUGUAUGUAAUUGUUUUGAUAGCAAUUUUCCUGGUUCUCUCUCACUAGCUUGCUAACUACGCAUGUCAAUCACAUUCAGGAACACCAUGGGCCUAAGGGUCAGCCACAUCUCAGGAGAAUGUGAUUCAAAAGAGGACACAAGGCAUAAUAUAGCACUUUCUCCUUCUAGCAUGUAUGUCAGUUGCGUUGCGGCCUCGAAAGUCUGACAAUGUGUAAAGAGAGUGUUGCAUUUUUUUUCCUUCCCCCAGAUGCAGAAAGGAAAGGAUUUAUGAAGUACUCUGACCACAAUUUUAAAGCAAGUGAGAAACCCAACAGUGUAAGAUCCUCUUACUAGAGAACACUCAAUGGUACUGAAAGAGUUCUCCACCUAAACUCUAAAGAACCCGAAGAGAGGUCCAGUUUUUUCCUCCCAAAGAUCCAUCUCCAGAGCUUCACUCCCUAGUCCGUUAGGGAAGCCGGGACGGUGGGAGAGCCACAGAUACUCUUUCUCCUACGGAACCCUUGGACCUCUUGCCCCGUUUCCCUGUCACUUUAGGGAGCAGCACGCAGGAGACUAGAGGCCAGGGUCCAAGCCCGCAGCCGUAGCAGGCCGGACGAAGAAAGCGGGCCGGAAGGGCAGCGUCGCGGUGCUGGAGGCUGUUGCUGGGAGGCGUGGAUUCUGGAAAGCCGCAUCGGGAAGCUGGGUAUAGAGAAGGAUUAACAGAGAUUGCACCCUGGUGACCUUUCCCCUCAGGCACGUGACUCUUGCCCCUUCCAAGUUGUCAUCCUCAUUGUGAAAUUCACCUGGUAGCUGAUACUCAGGAGAGGAAUACUUUGGAAGCCUGAGUCUUCUAGCCAUCACCCUUCUGUUUUUCUCUCAAAGCUCCACUUGGAGCUCAGCUGGAGAAGGAACCCUGUGAAGUCUGGAAUUGGACAUGUCUCUUAUUAACGAAGUAAUUGUGGAGAAAACAGCAUUCUUACCACUAUCAUCCAGGAAAGUAUCCCAAGUCCCUUCCUUGGCAGUAGCAAACUUCCCUUAAUUCCCUUCCCCUUGAGGAGAUGCAGCCAGAAUGAGAGCCUUAAGCAGAGUUUUUGGGUGAAAUGAUAGGCAUGUUCUAGGAAUUGUGACUUAAACUUGGACCUCUUGUGAUUUUUUUUCUUUUCAUCUUAAUUACUGCAUUUCACUCAUUCAUCAUGAAAUAAACUCUUACUGAAGGC
This 1218-nucleotide long non-coding RNA is filed under the name Homo sapiens (human). Its description in RNAcentral is "HSALNT0381457". The record is from RNAcentral. Lineage: Eukaryota; Metazoa; Chordata; Mammalia; Primates; Hominidae.